Molecule: ribosomal RNA, 437 nt
Filed under: Corynascus sepedonium
Lineage: Eukaryota; Fungi; Ascomycota; Sordariomycetes; Sordariales; Chaetomiaceae
Description: eukaryotic LSU rRNA
Rfam family: 5.8S ribosomal RNA (bases 126-279)
Source: RNAcentral
CAAACCGUUGCUUCGGCGGGCGGCGCCCUCGCGCGCCCCUGGGCCCCACCGCGGGCGCCCGCCGGAGGUACCCAAACUCUUGAUACAUUAUGGCCACUCUGAGUCUUCUGUACUGAAUAAGUCAAAACUUUCAACAACGGAUCUCUUGGUUCUGGCAUCGAUGAAGAACGCAGCGAAAUGCGAUAAGUAAUGUGAAUUGCAGAAUUCAGUGAAUCAUCGAAUCUUUGAACGCACAUUGCGCCCGCCAGUAUCCUGGCGGGCAUGCCUGUUCGAGCGUCAUUUCAACCAUCAAGCCCCCGGCUUGUGUUGGGGACCUGCGGCUGUCCGCAGGCCCUGAAAACCAGUGGCGGGCUCGCUAGUCACACCGAGCGUAGUAGCAUACAUCUCGCUCAGGGCGUGCUGCGGGUUCCGGCCGUUAAACGACCUUCAUAACCCAA